CAGUCGCCGCGGGAAUACGGAGGGUGCAAGCGUUAAUCGGAAUUACUGGGCGUAAAGCGUGCGCAGGCGGUUUGUUAAGACAGAUGUGAAAUCCCCGGGCUCAACCUGGGAACUGCAUUUGUGACUGGCAAGCUAGAGUGUGGCAGAGGGGGGUGGAAUUCCGCGUGUAGCAGUGAAAUGCGUAGAUAUGCGGAGGAACACCGAUGGCGAAGGCAGCUCCCUGGGACAACACUGACGCUGAGGCACGAAAGCGUGGGGAGCAAACAGGAUUAGAUACCCGGGUAGUCCCUGUCUCUUAUAC
RNAcentral lists this ribosomal RNA (301 nucleotides) under uncultured bacterium. Its description in RNAcentral is "partial 16S ribosomal RNA". It matches the Rfam family "Bacterial small subunit ribosomal RNA", at positions 509 to 807 of the family's 1533-position model. The record is from RNAcentral.